AAUAUUAUAUCCUGAACUCAUUUCAACUGCGUGUGUAAAUCACCACCUGUAUCUGCAGAGAAAGUGUUUUAACCCAGCCUGCUGCCCCCAACCAACAUUAUUUCCAGCUUUGAACUUAUCCUGGGAUUGCUUUUGCUAGCCAGCUACUCUGCAGCUAAAGUGCUAUUGUUCCCUUUAAUAAUAGCCUAAGCAACUGUUCCUUUUUAAUGCAAAGUCCUGGAACUUAACAAGUUGAUUACAAGAUAGUGACUCACUUUUUAUCUCUUUCUGUGCCUCCACCCCACCUAGAUCUUUCUGCUCCUGCAAAUUUUAGUGAGUGGGUUACCUAGAACACCAGUCCAAUAAAGGUUGGAGUAGAAUACCAGACAAGAAAAGGAUGAGCUCAUUUCUCCUCUAUGCUGUCAGUCUUUGAACACAGUGAGACCUAUUAGCCAGAAAAUGCAUGACACAGGAGAAGAUGUACCCUCAUCUGUUCAGUGAGAGAUGUGC
This is a long non-coding RNA of Homo sapiens (human), 489 nucleotides long. Ensembl annotates it as cancer susceptibility 2. Its record names the gene CASC2. The record is from Ensembl. Lineage: Eukaryota; Metazoa; Chordata; Mammalia; Primates; Hominidae.